Molecule: ribosomal RNA, 416 nt
Filed under: uncultured bacterium
Lineage: Bacteria
Description: bacterial SSU rRNA
Rfam family: Bacterial small subunit ribosomal RNA
Source: RNAcentral
AACGAACGCUGGCGGCAUGCCUAACACAUGCAAGUCGAACGAGACCUUCGGGUCUAGUGGCGCACGGGUGCGUAACGCGUGGGAAUCUGCCCCUUGGUUCGGAAUAACAGUUAGAAAUGACUGCUAAUACCGGAUGAUGACGAAAGUCCAAAGAUUUAUCGCCGAGGGAUGAGCCCGCGUAGGAUUAGCCUAGUUGGUGAGGUAAAGGCUCACCAAGGCGACGAUCCUUAGCUGGUCUGAGAGGAUGAUCAGCCACACUGGGACUGAGACACGGCCCAGACUCCUACGGAGGCAGCAGUGGGGAAUAUUGGACAAUGGCGAAAGCCUGAUCCCAGCAAUGCCGCGUGAGUGAUGAAGGCCUUAGGGUCUAAAGCUCUUUACCAGGGAUGAUAAUGACAGUACCUGGAGGAUAAGCU